Long non-coding RNA from Spodoptera frugiperda (fall armyworm), 853 nucleotides. RefSeq lists it as uncharacterized. The record is from RefSeq and is a predicted model, not a curated record. NCBI's taxonomy places the organism in Eukaryota, Metazoa, Arthropoda, Insecta, Lepidoptera, Noctuidae. The transcript has 2 exons.
AAAAGGGUUUAUUUCUUGUUAGAUUAAUCAAACUGUAAGUUACAUGAGUGUUAGAGAUUAUUUGCAAAACAUCAGAUCUUUAGAAGGUAUUUUUACAUCUCGUCAUAUUUCUUUCAUAAGGGUUUAUUUCUCGUAAGAUUAAUCAAACUGUAAGUUACAUGAGUGUUAGAUAUUAUUUGCAAAACAUCAGAUCUUUAGAAGGUAUUUUUACAUAUCGUUAUAUUUCUUUCAAAGGGGUAUGCUAUGGAUGCGUGCUAUGAUACAUCGCAUACUCGAGUUGUGCAUCUUCAUCGCACAGUGUAAUAGCUAAGCUGUGAAACUAUGAUACCGUUUCCACUGACAUUAAGCUGCACGAGGAAUAUGUGCAGCUCGCGAUGCGAUGUGAUAUGAUGAUCGAUAAUAGGGAAACCAUCCAUAGCACAGUGCAUCUCAGGUGGAAAAACACCCUAAGAUAUAGUAGGUAAUGAUCUAAUGUUGUUUUCAUUUAGGUAUUUUCGGUUAUUAUUACAGGUGUCCCACUAUUUUUAGUUUUGACCUUUUGGGGCUGGUAUGAAUACAUUCUAGUUCAGUUAAAAAUGGAAGAAAAAGUCAAGGACAACCACGAGAUAAAUAGUGUGAAACAUUAUUACAAUCUAAUAUACUUAUUUUUUUACUAAAUGUAAUAUUUUAGCAAAAUAUGUUUGAAAUCAAAACACUUUUAAAUGAGAAAUAAUAUGUAAUAUCGUUGUGUGAAUCCGAAUGGUUAAUUUAUGAAACAGGUACUAAACAAAAUUAUGUUAAAACCUAUGUAGAUAUAGGUAGUAUCGGUAAGUUAUAUUUUGUUAUGGGUUUGUGGCACCUACUUCUAAACUAU